RNAcentral lists this ribosomal RNA (429 nucleotides) under Bacteroidota bacterium. RNAcentral describes it as "Bacteroidetes bacterium partial 16S ribosomal RNA". It matches the Rfam family "Bacterial small subunit ribosomal RNA", at positions 355 to 776 of the family's 1533-position model. The record is from RNAcentral. Lineage: Bacteria; Pseudomonadati; Bacteroidota.
UAGGGAAUCUUCCGCAAUGGACGCAAGUCUGACGGAGCAACGCCGCGUGAGUGAGGAAGGAUUUAGGUUCGUAAAACUCUGUUGUUAGAGAAGAACAGCGCAUAGAGUAACUGUUAUGCGUGUGACGGUAUCUAACCAGAAAGCCACGGCUAACUACGUGCCAGCAGCCGCGGUAAUACGUAGGUGGCAAGCGUUGUCCGGAUUUAUUGGGCGUAAAGCGAGCGCAGGCGGUCAAUUAAGUCUGAUGCGAAAGCCCCCGGCUCAACCGGGGAGGGUCAUUGGAAACUGGUUGAUUUGAGUGCAGAAGAGGAGAGUGGAAUUCCAUCUGUAGCGGUGAAAUGCAUAGAUAUAUGGAGGAUCACCAGUGGCGAAGGCGACGCUCUAGUCUGUAACUGACGCUGAGGCUCGAAAGCGUGGGUAGCAAACAGG